UACGUAGGGUGCAAGCGUUGCUCGGAAUUACUGGGCGUAAAGCGUGCGCAGGCGGUUUUGUAAGUCUGACGUGAAAUCCCCUGGCUCAACCUGGGAAUUGCGUUGGAGACUGCAAGGCUAGAAUCUGGCAGAGGGGGGUAGAAUUCCACGUGUAGCAGUGAAAUGCGUAGAGAUGUGGAGGAACACCGAUGGCGAAGGCAGCCCCCUGGGUCAAGAUUGACGCUCAUGCACGAAAGCGUGGGGAGCAAACAGG
Molecule: ribosomal RNA, 253 nt
Filed under: uncultured bacterium
Lineage: Bacteria
Description: partial 16S ribosomal RNA
Rfam family: Bacterial small subunit ribosomal RNA
Source: RNAcentral